GGCCUUUUCGGUAUGGGCGUCCGUCGUCGCGCGUGGGUCCGCGGACGGCUCCGUCACUAGGAUGGGUUGUGCCAUGGCACAGGUCGUUAGUCGAGGGAGCGUGGAAAUCCAGAGUCGUCAUCUCGUCGGCUUGGGCCCGUCAUUGCAGGGUUGCUCUUGGAUCUCGAGGGAACGAGGGCGGCGUCGAGGAUGGCCGGCGGCGUGGCAGGAUGGAGGAGAACGGCUUAGAGUUCGUGCUCGAUCUGGUGGUCAGGAUCCCAAUUCGGGAAGAGUUCGCCGAUAACCUUGAGCACCCGGAUCCGGUGCCGCUGAGGCUGCUGCCCAGGGGGGAGGCUGGCGCUCUUGGCCCGUAUGAUUCAAAUGGUGAAUCUGGUUGCGCCCUGAGGCGCGGCGGAAAAGAGCCGCGUCGCCAACAAAGUUAGCUCAAUCUAUCGGAAAGGUUAAUCGGGAGGCACCUGGAUGAUGGACGAAAAGGUUAAGACUAGGGAGUGCACCGCCGGACAGAAAUUCGUGCGCUUCAUGGAUGAGCGCACUGGAGCAAGCGAUACGGAAGUUUGCUGAGGAACCGACGAGGAGUGUGAUUAAACCAGAAUUAGGAACACGUUCCGAUUCGUUGAACGAGGCAUACGACUUCUGCAGUCUUUAUUCAUGGGAAGUUAGAUUCAGUAAAAAAAGCCGACUGAAUGCAGAAAGAACCAAGUCGAUGCAGGAGAGAGUGUGCGGUUGUUCGCUAGGUUCUGUGGUACGAGAUACAAUGGAAAGCCUGAGGCAGAGAAUAGCUGAUCAUGCAGGUGCGAGUGCCGAAAGUUUUGAAUGAGUUUUUGCUGAGUCCUGAGAAUGUUGGGUGGAUCACCGCCUACGACAAUUUUGACUGGUAUGUAUGGGCUAGCAUAGAACUCUUACUUGCUGGUAGCUCCCAGAAGCUGAGUUAUUGUUUGUUGUUAUUACAGAUCAAAACAGAGCAGCCGAACCCUUACUUGCCAAUCAGCCGGAUUUUUCGUAUAGAUUUUUUGUGAAAACUGUUUUACCUGAAGAAUAUUUCAAUUAGUUAGCUGAACUAGGGUAAAUUGUUCGUAAAUCAGUACCUGCAUAGAUAUUGCAUUAGUAGGGAGAACUACUGUACUGAAUUAGCACGUUUGCAAAUUUUCACGCUAUGCCUCGGCAGUGCACCACCAGACAAGGCACCAUGUGCUUCUAGGAUGCUUAAACUGUUUUUUGGUUGAUCAUUGCAAAAAUUAAAUGUUGUUAUCCUGCAAGAAAUGGUUCAAGCACUUCCAUCCACUGCUGGCAGUGGCAUCCGGACAGGACUUGAUGGAUGAGCUCACUCCUGGGGGUGAGUUAACACUGAAUUUGUGUGCAUUCAACGGAUGCCCAGUGAGAAAGAGAAGAAAAUGUACCGCGGAUGGCUUGACAGAUGGAGAGAGAUUUUUAUCCUGUUUUUGUGGAUGAACUUUGUAAGGAAGACGACGAAAUAAACUGGGAUUAAACCAUUCAUGUUCCCUGUGAUGUUCAUGGAUUGCUGGUCCUUGUACAUUCUCGACACUGAGAAGAAGAUUGUAAUGGUGCUUGAUCCAACAGAGACAGAUCCAUCAGAUGAGAUGAAGAGGAAGCAUGAGGCGCUAGCGAGGAAGUUCCAGCGUAGGUUUUACAACCUUUUUAAUGACAAGUUUGGAGCAGGCUUGGUCGAGACGACUGGAUGGUCAUUUGUGUACCCGUUGGUUGCGCAACACGAGCCAUGCACCAGGGAAGACGGUGUGGUGUAUGUCCUGCACUACAUACUGGAGUUCACUGGCCUUUACCUGAGAUCGAAUAUGAACCAGGAGCAGAUCGAGCACCUCCGCAAGAAGAUUGCAUGUGACAUAGUGACGAUGAAGGAGAAUAAGGGAUGCAUCCCAGAGUUCCUGUACGAGGAGAUCCUCGACUAAAGUGAUGAAGUAUUCGUUCACUCUACGUGCAGCCCGGCAAGAUCUUUUGGUUGAAUUGUCCCGAUUUAGUUGUUGGGGCAUUUUGCAGCACAAACACCUGCCACCUUGUAGAUGAAAAACUAUGGACAUGUACUGCAUUUUUAGAUGGAUUCUUAAGCAGUUUAAGUAAAUGUAAGCGCUGAUAUGAUAUGUGGAUGUAUGUUCAUAUCUCAGAAUGUGCAAUGCUAUUGGUACUAGUGGUUAUUUGAUCCCGUGAUUUACA
RNA transcript from Triticum aestivum (bread wheat), 2187 nucleotides. RefSeq lists it as uncharacterized. The transcript has 8 exons. Lineage: Eukaryota; Viridiplantae; Streptophyta; Magnoliopsida; Poales; Poaceae. The record is from RefSeq and is a predicted model, not a curated record.